CAAUGCCACCUGUCCCCAGUGCCACCCGUCCCCAGUGCCACCCGUCCCCAGUGCCACCCGUCCCCAGUGCCACCCGUCCCCAGUGCCACCUGUCCCCAGUGCCACCCAUCCUCAAUGCCACCCGUCCCCAGUGUCACCAGGCCCAGCCACUGUCCCUGUACAGCUUUGGGUUUAUUUGAGCCGUUUGUGACACGGAGCAGCAAGGCUGGAGCCCCGUGGGGACAUCGGGGACCUCGCUGCGGUGACAGGGCCACCCGGGCACGGUGACCCGGUCACAUUGGCACAGGGAGGUGGCAGCUGCCCGGGGCGAGGCCACGCGGGUGGCUCAGGUGGCCGUGUCGGUGGCCGUGUCACCUGCGGUGUCACCUGCGGUGUCACUGGCCAGGGCCUUGGCCACCUUGUCCUUCAGGUAGGCCACGCGCUGCCGCUCCAGCUUCAGCUCCAGGAACUCGUAGUGGGGCACCUGCAGGGACACGGGGAGGUGGCAGCGCCCCGGGGUCCCCGCUGUGUCCCCUCUGUGUCCCCUGUGUCCCCUCCUGUCCUCACGGCACCAAUCCGGGGUCCCAGCGCCCGCCCGGCGUGCCGGUGACACCGGGGGGUGACAGUGACACUGGGGAGUGGCAGUGACACCGGGGGGUGACAGUGACACCAGAGCCUGGCAGUGACAGUGGGAGGUGACAGUGACACUGGGGGGUGACAGUGACAGCGGGGGGUGACAGCGACACCAGGGGGUGACAGUGACAGCGGGGCCUGGCAGUAACACCGGGAGGUGACAGUGACACCGGGGGCUGGCAGUGACACCACCAGGGGGGUGGCAGUGACACUGGGAGGUGACAGUGACACCGGGGGGUGACACGUGGCUGUCACUCCCCCCGGGCUAUAAUUACCCGCAGGGGUUAAUCCUGGCUGACCCCACGGAUCAGCUCGUCCGUGUCACCUCCCUGUCACCUCCCUGUCACCUCCCUGUCAUCCCCGCAGCUGGCAGGUGGCCCCGGGGGGAUCACGGUGACAAAUCCCUGCUGAGACCGGGCUGGG
Molecule: long non-coding RNA, 1035 nt
Filed under: Cyanistes caeruleus (blue tit)
Lineage: Eukaryota; Metazoa; Chordata; Aves; Passeriformes; Paridae
Description: lncRNA (ENSCCEG00000011263.1)
Source: RNAcentral